This is an RNA transcript of Triticum dicoccoides, 3655 nucleotides long. RefSeq lists it as uncharacterized. The transcript has 3 exons. The record is from RefSeq and is a predicted model, not a curated record. NCBI's taxonomy places the organism in Eukaryota, Viridiplantae, Streptophyta, Magnoliopsida, Poales, Poaceae.
CCGCCUCCUUGCGCACUCCGGCACUCGCGCCCGCUCCUCCCGCACGCGCGCCCCGUCCUCACCUCUCUCCUCCUCCAAACCCUACCCCGCGCCCGCCUCCCUGAACUGCCGCCGGCACCGCCGCCGCCGCUCGCCCGGGCACCCAUCCCCGGCCUCACGCCACCCAUCUAGAGAGAUGGCGGCCGCGCACGACGAGGUCGGCCUAGCCGCCGCCUCCUUCUCCCGCGACCGCGCCGCCCUCUCCUCCUUCCUCCCGCCUCCCUGCCGUGCCGCCCCGCCGCCUCCUCCCUCGCUCGCUUCCUCUCCUCCCGCAGCCGCCUCCCCCCUCCCUCACUCGCUCCUAAUCCGGCGACGGCGGUAGCGGCUGCCGCGCCCACACCCAUCUGCUCCCCGCCGCCAUCACCUCCAGUAAUGUCGCUGCUCCCGUCGAGCUCGAGCGUUCCAUCGCCAGGAGGAGCGGAGGUUGCCGCAACAGCAGCUGCUCGGACGUCUCUCCCUCGGCGGUGCCGGAUCCAGUGUCCACCAUCGUUGACAUUUGUGCGCUCUUGCUGCUGUAGAUUUGAUGCACCGCCACCUCCUCUGCUCUCUUCUCCUCCCUCCGGGGUUGGUUUGGGUGCAGGGGUGGUUAUUCUUGGGUGUUAGCCGUUUUAAUCCCGCUGCACAAUUAGAUGUACAGUAUCGUCAGAGAGAAACAGGAACAUGCAGCUUGAGCUUGUUCAAGUGGAUGGAGUUGUUUCCUGUUCCUGCAUCCGCAUUCGUGGGAUGGCACGCAAUAGCAGCAGCGAGUGCGGCGGCUUAGUGGAUGCGUGAGUAGUUGUGGGAUGGCGCAACUGUUAGCUUGAUCGUGUCCGGCUGAAUCGUUAUUUCAGUUAGCUUGUAACACUGGCAGACUAUAAAUAAGAUGAGGGCAAACUCUGUUUUUCUUGUUCCAGAGAGAGACACACAUGGAUGGUACAACUGUUGGGUUCUUUAUUUGUAUCACCUGCAACAAAUUCAUCGACCGAGCUAGCUUCCAACUCGUUCUUGCCAUGGUUGUUGGUUGGUCCUACCUAGGCAAAAUCUCAAUCCAUUGUCUUGGUUCAGUUUACAUAGGGUUCUCCAUGCCCAAGAUGAGAAAAUCUUGCUGUCAAUUUGUUUGAUGCCACAAUUGGCGUUAUUUUCUUACCAUUAUAUUAUAUUUGCCACUGAAUGUUCAACCUUUAAUAUUUGCUUUUGCAAAGCCAGGCUUUAUGUACUGUUUGCUUGUGUUUGCUUUCUGUGCUGCAAAAGUAGCUCAUUCAUUCAUCGCUGAUUUGGCACGUGCGACCAAUGUGCACAUGCUGCAUUUAGAUUCCAGCCUAACUCUUAGCUUUCAGUUGAAGCCUUUUAGACCAAGCCAUCUCGGUUUCUUGUGUUUUCGCCUAACUAGCUUUUUAUUCUUCUUCUUCAGGUUUUCAAGGCGGUUUUGUGUAGAACAGCCACGGAGCAGAAACAACGAACAUGCUACUUCAGCAACAGCGUGGCACUUUUGCUUGUGUCUUGUUAUCUUUUUGAUAGCCUGUAUCACUGAUGGCCUUCCAUUGGCGGAGUGCUUAGAUGGUGGUUAUGUGAAGGAUGUUGUCUUCUACAAGUAGCAAGAAAAAUUGUUGUUCAAAAACAUAUCUAAAGGCCAACAUGAAUCAUCAAGACUGUCAACUGAGACUGGACCAUACCGUUCCAGGUCAAGGUAUGCAUUUACAUUUUUUGCUUUCAGCAAGAUGAGGAUAAUGUGAUUGUUUGUGUGCGUGCGUGCUAUAUGAUACAUUUUCGCUUUCAUCAAGAUGAGGAUAUUGUGACUAUUUGUGUGCGUGCGUGCUAUAUGAUACAUUUUUGCUUUCAUCAAGAUGAGGAUACUGUGAAUGUUUGUGUGGGUGCUUUAGUGGUUCUAGGUUAUUGUAGUAGUAUAACUAGGCUUCGUUUACACAAAAUCCAAAUAGAAUUUAGUUUGGAGCUGGUCAAGACAUGGUGUAGUAUUAUAACCUAUUAAUUUGGUUGGACUGGUCAAGUGUUCUAUUAAUUCUUGCUGCAGUAUUCAUUAUGUAGUAUGUACUAGCUCUUAGACAAGAUAAUUGUUUAGCCUCUGAUUUCUUAGCUACUGGUUGGUCCUGUAAAGCUACAUCCUUGCUUUUCGAUUAGUGUUAUUUGAAUCUAUUGCAGUGGAUAUGCAUAAAAGAUCCGCUAAUUUGGGUUUUUUUCCAUUACUUAUCAUGUGAUGGCCAUUGUCGGAGCUUUGCCGCCUUCAUCUCGACUCCACCGGGGUUCCAGGUUCACACUUCACCGCUCUCCCCCUGUGGCCCGGUGAUUUGCGGCGGCUGCGGGGUCUUCCCUGCUUUGGUGGUGGCCGGCAGGCGUUUGCCCGGCCAGAUCUGGCACGGUGCAGGACCUGUGGUGCAUGUCCUGGUUUAUGGGGGCGGGGGACACAUGGGCCCUUGGUCCGGCAGCGUCGGCAGCACGAUGUGCGCCCGUCUGCUUUCUUGCUAGAUACGUGUUUAGGCAAAAUCUACAAUAAUCCUUCAAGGUUUAUACAUCAAUUGCAAUGGGUUUUAGGAAUGCAUCACUAUAUUGAUUUUGGUUUAUACGUGAUCUGCAGAGAGUUUUAUAAAUGUAUCAUUAUAUUGUUUUGGGUUUAAAUAUGAAUUGCAAAAUGUUUUAGGCAUGUGAAAAUCAGAGCUCAGGCGGCAGGUGAUUUUUUUUCUUGCUUCUAAUGCUAGGAUGAUGUUCUGUAUACUAAAAAGGACUCGUGCACACUUGCUUUGCUCCUUAGUGUUUAUGAUCAGUUACCAAACAUUAUAAUAGGAUAUACACAUUGCUUCAAAACUGAGUAUGUUCCUUGGUGAUGGUGUAUUUAUUAUGAAAAUAAAUAGGACUGCUUACCCAUGGUGAUGUGGUAUUGCUACUCGAUUACUUACCCUGUUUCUGUGACAAAGGCCUGUGAUAGAUAUGGUUAGACACAUAUUGAGCGCCCAAUUUCAUAAAUAUUGAGCAUACAGUUUCAACUUCAACUUAAACAUGAGAUUGUCUUGCUGUCGAGUUGUGUUCAGUUCUUUCCAUGUAGAACUUACUAGAAAUUCUUGCAUAUAUCCUAAACAAAUAAAGAGCUGCAUGCAUUUAAAUUAAGCAGUUCCAAAGAAAGAAUUAUUUCAAGUUAUUUUGUUUGGAGAUGAGUUGCCUUUUCUACACCUUUGUGUAAAGGAUGGAGCCUCCACAGUGCCUAUGAGCCAUGCUUUUUCCCACCCAGUAAAAUGGUCUAUUUUCAAGUGGCAUCAUACGGUGAAGGAGGGGAUCUGGAUCAAGAGCCGUAAUGGUGCUUGUGAUGGCAUGUCUAGCACUUGCGCGACCCUGGAGUCUGACUUCUUCUUGCAAGUUGACCAUACUAUUGUGAGAAUCUCAGCCAGGAUCAUUCUUUAUAUCAUGUUGGAUCAUCUUGGAAUUCAUAGAGCCAUUUACCGUCGAAGGAUGUACUCACAGAACAAAUCAGUGUGAUUAUGCUUUUCUACACUUCUGUCCAAAGUAAUGGGAUAUGUAUUCUGUACUGUACAACUACCCUCUAAUGCACUACUCAGCCUUCAAUCUCUGUAUGUACAAAUGACUUGAUCUAAUUAUUAUGAACGACAUAUGGAGUGUGCUGCUUUCUAUA